RNAcentral lists this ribosomal RNA (991 nucleotides) under Staphylococcus aureus M0965. RNAcentral's name for it is "bacterial SSU rRNA". It matches the Rfam family "Bacterial small subunit ribosomal RNA", at positions 8 to 980 of the family's 1533-position model. Lineage: Bacteria; Bacillati; Bacillota; Bacilli; Caryophanales; Staphylococcaceae. The record is from RNAcentral.
AGAGUUUGAUCCUGGCUCAGGAUGAACGCUGGCGGCGUGCCUAAUACAUGCAAGUCGAGCGAACGGACGAGAAGCUUGCUUCUCUGAUGUUAGCGGCGGACGGGUGAGUAACACGUGGAUAACCUACCUAUAAGACUGGGAUAACUUCGGGAAACCGGAGCUAAUACCGGAUAAUAUUUUGAACUGCAUGGUUCAAAAGUGAAAGACGGUCUUGCUGUCACUUAUAGAUGGAUCCGCGCUGCAUUAGCUAGUUGGUAAGGUAACGGCUUACCAAGGCAACGAUGCAUAGCCGACCUGAGAGGGUGAUCGGCCACACUGGAACUGAGACACGGUCCAGACUCCUACGGGAGGCAGCAGUAGGGAAUCUUCCGCAAUGGGCGAAAGCCUGACGGAGCAACGCCGCGUGAGUGAUGAAGGUCUUCGGAUCGUAAAACUCUGUUAUUAGGGAAGAACAUAUGUGUAAGUAACUGUGCACAUCUUGACGGUACCUAAUCAGAAAGCCACGGCUAACUACGUGCCAGCAGCCGCGGUAAUACGUAGGUGGCAAGCGUUAUCCGGAAUUAUUGGGCGUAAAGCGCGCGUAGGCGGUUUUUUAAGUCUGAUGUGAAAGCCCACGGCUCAACCGUGGAGGGUCAUUGGAAACUGGAAAACUUGAGUGCAGAAGAGGAAAGUGGAAUUCCAUGUGUAGCGGUGAAAUGCGCAGAGAUAUGGAGGAACACCAGUGGCGAAGGCGACUUUCUGGUCUGUAACUGACGCUGAUGUGCGAAAGCGUGGGGAUCAAACAGGAUUAGAUACCCUGGUAGUCCACGCCGUAAACGAUGAGUGCUAAGUGUUAGGGGGUUUCCGCCCCUUAGUGCUGCAGCUAACGCAUUAAGCACUCCGCCUGGGGAGUACGACCGCAAGGUUGAAACUCAAAGGAAUUGACGGGGACCCGCACAAGCGGUGGAGCAUGUGGUUUAAUUCGAAGCAACGCGAAGAACCUUACCAAAUC